RNAcentral lists this ribosomal RNA (1054 nucleotides) under uncultured bacterium. Its description in RNAcentral is "bacterial SSU rRNA". It matches the Rfam family "Bacterial small subunit ribosomal RNA", at positions 338 to 1394 of the family's 1533-position model. The record is from RNAcentral.
CCUACGGGAGGCAGCAGUGAGGAAUAUUGGACAAUGGAUGGAAAUCUGAUCCAGCCAUGCCGCGUGCAGGAAGACGGCCCUAUGGGUUGUAAACUGCUUUUGUAUGGGAGCAAUAAGGUCUAUGCGUAGACUGAUGAGAGUACCAUACGAAUAAGCAUCGGCUAACUCCGUGCCAGCAGCCGCGGUAAUACGGGGGAUGCAAGCGUUAUCCGGAUUUAUUGGGUUUAAAGGGUGCGUAGGCGGUUUGAUAAGUCAGCGGUGAAAUAUUUCAGCUUAACUGAAAGGGUGCCGUUGAUACUGCCAGGCUUGAAUAUGGUUGCUGUGGGUGGAAUGUGUGGUGUAGCGGUGAAAUGCUUAGAUAUCACACAGAAUAUCGAUUGCGAAGGCAGCUCACAAAGCCAUUAUUGACGCUGAUGCACGAAAGUGUGGGGAUCAAACAGGAUUAGAUACCCUGGUAGUCCACACUGUAAACGAUGAUAACUCGCUGUCGGCGAUACACAGUCGGUAGCCAAGCGAAAGCGAUAAGUUAUCCACCUGGGGAGUACGACCGCAAGGUUGAAACUCAAAGGAAUUGACGGGGGCCCGCACAAGCGGAGGAACAUGUGGUUUAAUUCGAUGAUACGCGAGGAACCUUACCCGGGCUCGAACGGUGCAGGAAUACGUCAGAGAUGAUGUAGCUAGCAAUAGUCUGUAUCGAGGUGCUGCAUGGUUGUCGUCAGCUCGUGCCGUGAGGUGUCGGCUUAAGUGCCAUAACGAGCGCAACCCUUGUCGUUAGUUGCCAUCAGGUAAUGCUGGGAACUCUAGCGAGACUGCCACCGUAAGGUGUGAGGAAGGGGGGGAUGACGUCAAAUCAGCACGGCCCUUACGUCCGGGGCGACACACGUGUUACAAUGGUAGGUACAGAGGGCAGCUACCCAGCAAUGGGGUGCGAAUCUCAAAAGCCUAUCUCAGUUCGGAUCGGAGUCUGCAACUCGACUCCGUGAAGUUGGAUUCGCUAGUAAUCGCGCAUCAGCCAUGGCGCGGUGAAUACGUUCCCGGGCCUUGUACACCCGCC